This 468-nucleotide ribosomal RNA is filed under the name uncultured bacterium. RNAcentral's name for it is "partial 16S ribosomal RNA". It matches the Rfam family "Bacterial small subunit ribosomal RNA", at positions 28 to 507 of the family's 1533-position model. The record is from RNAcentral.
GACGAACGCUGGCGGCGUGCUUAACACAUGCAAGUCGAACGGAAAGGCCCUGCUUUUGUGGGGUGCUCGAGUGGCGAACGGGUGUGUAACACGUGAGUAACCUGCCCUUGACUUUGGGAUAACUUCAGGAAACUGGGGCUAAUACCGGAUAGGAGCUCCUGCUGCAUGGUGUGGGUUGGAAAGUUUCGGCGGUUGGGGAUGGACUCGCGGCUUAUCAGCUUGUUGGUGAGGUAGUGGCUUACCAAGGCUUUGACGGGUAGCCGGCCUGAGAGGGUGACCGGCCACAUUGGGACUGAGAUACGGCCCAGACUCCUACGGGAGGCAGCAGUGGGGAAUAUUGCACAAUGGGCGGAAGCCUGAUGCAGCAACGCCGCGUGCGGGAUGACGGCCUUCGGGUUGUAAACCGCUUUCGCCUGUGACGAAGCGUGAGUGACGGUAAUGGGUAAAGAAGCACCGGCUAACUACGUG